This 254-nucleotide ribosomal RNA is filed under the name uncultured bacterium. RNAcentral's name for it is "partial 16S ribosomal RNA". It matches the Rfam family "Bacterial small subunit ribosomal RNA", at positions 524 to 777 of the family's 1533-position model. The record is from RNAcentral.
UACAGAGGGUGCAAACGUUGUUCGGAAUUACUGGGCGUAAAGCGCGUGUAGGCGGCUAAGUAAGUCGGGCGUGAAAUCCCACGGCUCAACCGUGGAAGUGCACUCGAAACUGCAUAGCUAGAGUCCUGGAGAGGAAGGUGGAAUGCUUGGUGUAGAGGUGAAAUUCGUAGAUAUCAAGCGGAACACCGGUGGCGAAGGCGGCCUUCUGGACAGUGACUGACGCUGAGACGCGAAAGCGUGGGGAGCAAACAGGG